Long non-coding RNA from Helianthus annuus (common sunflower), 236 nucleotides. RefSeq lists it as uncharacterized. The record is from RefSeq and is a predicted model, not a curated record. The transcript is spliced from 3 exons. Lineage: Eukaryota; Viridiplantae; Streptophyta; Magnoliopsida; Asterales; Asteraceae.
UCAACUGAGACCUACACAGUAAUUGGAGUACAAGCAUUCUAAGUUUGUUAAUCUGAUUAUUGAAGGGGAACCGAUGGUCCGACCAUUAGAAUGUGCAAGGCGUUACUUCCAGUAAAUGAAGAACAUUUGACUGAUGAAGCCAUAUGGGAGUCACUUCCUGUAAAGCAUGAUCACACAGUCAUCACUAAUGACCUUUCAGCAUCGAAAAACAUCAAAUCCAAAAAUCUAAUGUUUUC